This 253-nucleotide ribosomal RNA is filed under the name uncultured bacterium. RNAcentral describes it as "partial 16S ribosomal RNA". It matches the Rfam family "Bacterial small subunit ribosomal RNA", at positions 524 to 776 of the family's 1533-position model. The record is from RNAcentral.
UACGUAGGGUGCAAGCGUUGUCCGGAAUCAUUGGGCGUAAAGAGCUCGUAGGCGGUUUGUCGCGUCUGCCGUGAAAGUCCGGGGCUCAACUCCGGAUCUGCGGUGGGUACGGGCAGACUAGAGUGAUGUAGGGGAGACUGGAAUUCCUGGUGUAGCGGUGAAAUGCUUAGAUAUCGUCAAGAACACCGAUAGCGAAGGCAGCUUACUAGGCUGUAACUGACGCUGAGGCACGAAAGUGUGGGGAUCAAACAGG